RNAcentral lists this transfer RNA (64 nucleotides) under Hydroides norvegica. Its description in RNAcentral is "tRNA-Glu". The record is from RNAcentral. Lineage: Eukaryota; Metazoa; Annelida; Polychaeta; Sabellida; Serpulidae.
GCCCCUGUAGAGUAAAAUUAGCUCGUUAGGUUUUCACCCUAAAGGUGCUCUUGGGCUAGGGGUA